RNAcentral lists this ribosomal RNA (490 nucleotides) under uncultured bacterium. RNAcentral's name for it is "bacterial SSU rRNA". It matches the Rfam family "Bacterial small subunit ribosomal RNA", at positions 21 to 507 of the family's 1533-position model. The record is from RNAcentral.
UUCUCAGGAUGAACGCUAGCGGCAGGCCUAACACAUGCAAGUCGAGGGGUAACAGGAAAGCUUGCUUUUGCUGACGACCGGCGCACGGGUGCGUAACGCGUAUGCAACCUACCUCAUACAGGAGAAUAGCCCUUGGAAACGAGGAUUAAUACUCCAUGGUAUCAUUUUUUCGCAUGUUAAAAUGAUUAAAGAAUUUCGGUAUGAGAUGGGCAUGCGUCCCAUUAGCUAGUUGGUGAGGUAACGGCUCACCAAGGCGACGAUGGGUAGGGGGCCUGAGAGGGUGGUCCCCCACACUGGUACUGAGACACGGACCAGACUCCUACGGGAGGCAGCAGUGAGGAAUAUUGGUCAAUGGAGGCAACUCUGAACCAGCCAUGCCGCGUGAAGGAUGACGGCCCUAUGGGUUGUAAACUUCUUUUAUAUGGGAAGAAACUUAUCUACGUGUAGAUAACUGACGGUACCAUACGAAUAAGGAUCGGCUAACUCCGUG